ACACACACUCACAGCCGGGCGGACAUUAGAAUUAUGACUGGAGUGUAGCUGGCCCUUAAAAACGGCAUGUGCACGCUCCUUUCACUAAUCCACACACACCUGUGCACCUUUGCGGGGGUCUUCUUUUCGGAGAAGGCUCGCGUCCCUUUACACACCCUUUGUAUGUCUUAAGAAUGUCUACUCGAUGUAAUAAAACGCAUCUAAUACAACUUUCAACAACGGAUCUCUUGGCUCUCGCAUCGAUGAAGAACGCAGCGAAAUGCGAUAAGUAAUGUGAAUUGCAGAAUUCAGUGAAUCAUCGAAUCUUUGAACGCACCUUGCGCCCUUUGGUAUUCCGAAGGGCACACCUGUUUGAGUGUCGUGAAAUUCUCAACCCUCUUCAUUUUUUAUGAAUGAAGCAGUGGCUUGGACUUGGAGGUUUUUUGCCGGGCCUCACCGCUCGGCUCCUCUCAAAUGCAUUAGUGCGUCUUGUUGCGACGUGCGCCUCGGUGUGAUAAUUAUCUACGCUGUGGUGCGCUUGCUUCUGUGGAGACGCGCUUUCUAACCGUCCGAAAGGACAGCUUUCAUCGAACUUUGACCUCAAAUCAGGUGGGACUACCCGCUGAACUUAAGCAUAUCAAUUAAGCGGAGGAAUGAGAAUUAAAAAU
Molecule: ribosomal RNA, 647 nt
Filed under: Stereum complicatum
Lineage: Eukaryota; Fungi; Basidiomycota; Agaricomycetes; Russulales; Stereaceae
Description: eukaryotic LSU rRNA
Rfam family: 5.8S ribosomal RNA (bases 208-361)
Source: RNAcentral